AGCAGCCGCGGUAAUUCCGGCUCCAAUAGCGUAUAUUAAAGUUGUUGCAGUUAAAAAGCUCGUAGUUGAAUUUCGGGAUUGACGUGAUGGUCGUGCCUUACGGGGUAUGAACUGUUGCAGUCAAUUUCUCACCUUCUGGAGAAAUAUGAUGUCCUUAAUUGGGUGUCAUAUGGAACCAGAACUUUUACCUUGAAAAAAUUAGAGUGUUUAAAGCAGGCUUAUUGCUCGAAUACAUUAGCAUGGAAUAAUAAAAUAGGACGGCAUGGUUCUAUUUUGUUGGUUUCUAGGAUCACCGUAAUGAUUAAUAGGGAUAGUUGGGGGCAUUAGUAUUCAAUUGUCAGAGGUGAAAUUCUUGGAUUUAUUGAAGACUAACUACUGCGAAAGCAUUUGCCAAGGAUGUUUUCAUUAAUCAAGAACGAAAGUUAGGGGAUCGAAGACGAUCAGAUACCGUCGUAGUCUUAACCAUAAACUAUGCCGACUAGGAAUCAGACGAUGUUAAUUUUUUAAUGACUCAUUCGGC
RNAcentral lists this unclassified non-coding RNA (520 nucleotides) under uncultured Entrophospora. Its description in RNAcentral is "SSU rRNA". It matches the Rfam family "Eukaryotic small subunit ribosomal RNA", at positions 569 to 1084 of the family's 1831-position model. The record is from RNAcentral. Lineage: Eukaryota; Fungi; Glomeromycota; Glomeromycetes; Entrophosporales; Entrophosporaceae.